CCAUCAUUUAGUUGGGCACUCUAAGGUGACUGCCGGUGACAAACCGGAGGAAGGUGGGGAUGACGUCAAAUCAUCAUGCCCCUUAUGACCUGGGCUACACACGUGCUACAAUGGACGGUACAAAGAGCUGCAAGACCGCGAGGUGGAGCUAAUCUCAUAAAACCGUUCUCAGUUCGGAUUGUAGGCUGCAACUCGCCUACAUGAAGCUGGAAUCGCUAGUAAUCGCGGAUCAGCAUGCCGCGGUGAAUACGUUCCCGGGCCUUGUACACACCGCCCGUCACACCACGAGAGUUUGUAACACCCGAAGUCGGUGGGGUAACCUUUUUG
This 327-nucleotide ribosomal RNA is filed under the name Bacillus anthracis (anthrax bacterium). Its description in RNAcentral is "bacterial SSU rRNA". It matches the Rfam family "Bacterial small subunit ribosomal RNA", at positions 1118 to 1446 of the family's 1533-position model. The record is from RNAcentral. Lineage: Bacteria; Bacillati; Bacillota; Bacilli; Caryophanales; Bacillaceae.